GCCGCCGCCGCCGCCAUGGAGAACGCGCACACAAAGACGGUGGAGGAGGUGCUGGGCCACUUCGGCGUCAACGAGAGCACGGGGCUGAGCCUGGAGCAGGUCAAGAAGCUCAAGGAGAAGUGGGGCUCCAACGAGCUGCCGGCUGAGGAAGGGAAAACCUUGCUGGAACUUGUGAUCGAGCAGUUCGAAGACCUACUCGUGAGAAUUUUAUUGCUGGCAGCGUGUAUAUCUUUUGUUUUGGCUUGGUUUGAAGAAGGCGAAGAAACAAUUACAGCCUUUGUGGAACCCUUCGUAAUCUUACUUAUAUUGGUAGCCAACGCCAUUGUGGGUGUGUGGCAGGAAAGAAAUGCUGAAAAUGCCAUUGAAGCCCUUAAGGAGUAUGAGCCAGAAAUGGGCAAAGUGUAUCGGCAGGACAGAAAGAGCGUACAACGAAUCAAAGCUAAAGACAUAGUUCCUGGGGACAUUGUAGAGAUUGCUGUUGGUGACAAAGUUCCUGCUGAUAUCAGAUUAACUUCAAUCAAAUCUACUACUCUAAGAGUUGAUCAGUCCAUCCUCACAGGUGAAUCAGUCUCCGUCAUCAAGCACACUGACCCUGUCCCUGAUCCACGUGCUGUCAACCAGGACAAAAAGAACAUGCUCUUCUCUGGGACAAACAUUGCUGCCGGCAAAGCCAUGGGCGUGGUGGUGGCAACCGGGGUUAACACUGAAAUCGGCAAGAUUCGGGAUGAGAUGGUGGCCACAGAACAGGAGAGAACACCCCUCCAGCAGAAACUGGAUGAGUUCGGGGAGCAGCUGUCCAAAGUCAUCUCCCUCAUUUGCAUUGCCGUCUGGAUCAUAAACAUCGGCCACUUCAAUGACCCGGUUCACGGCGGCUCCUGGAUCAGAGGCGCUAUUUACUACUUCAAAAUCGCUGUGGCCCUGGCCGUAGCGGCCAUUCCCGAAGGACUGCCUGCCGUCAUCACCACCUGCCUUGCUCUGGGAACUCGAAGAAUGGCAAAGAAAAAUGCGAUUGUUCGCAGUCUCCCUUCCGUGGAAACUCUUGGUUGUACUUCCGUCAUCUGCUCAGAUAAGACUGGUACUCUUACGACAAACCAGAUGUCGGUCUGCAGGAUGUUCAUCCUGGACAAAGUUGAAGGUGAUACUUGCUCCCUUAAUGAGUUUACAAUAACGGGGUCAACUUACGCACCUAUUGGAGAAGUGCAUAAAGAUGAUAAGCCAGUGAAAUGUCAUCAAUAUGAUGGUCUUGUAGAGUUGGCAACAAUUUGUGCUCUUUGUAAUGACUCUGCGCUGGAUUACAAUGAGGCAAAAGGUGUGUAUGAAAAAGUUGGAGAAGCAACGGAGACUGCCCUCACUUGCCUGGUAGAGAAGAUGAAUGUAUUUGAUACUGAAUUGAAAGGUCUCUCUAAAAUAGAACGCGCAAACGCCUGCAACUCGGUCAUUAAACAGUUGAUGAAAAAAGAAUUCACGCUCGAGUUUUCACGUGACAGAAAGUCCAUGUCAGUUUACUGUACACCGAACAAACCAAGCCGGACAUCAAUGAGCAAAAUGUUUGUGAAGGGUGCUCCUGAGGGCGUGAUUGACAGGUGCACCCACAUCCGAGUUGGAAGCACUAAAGUCCCUUUGACCCCUGGGGUCAAACAGAAGAUCAUGUCUGUCAUCCGGGAAUGGGGGAGUGGCAGCGACACCCUGCGGUGCCUGGCACUGGCGACUCAUGACAAUCCACUGAGAAGAGAAGAGAUGAACCUUGAGGACUCUGCCAACUUCAUUAAAUAUGAGACCAAUCUGACUUUCGUUGGCUGCGUGGGCAUGCUGGACCCCCCAAGAAUUGAAGUGGCUUCUUCUGUAAAACUGUGCCGACAAGCAGGUAUCCGGGUCAUCAUGAUCACAGGGGACAAUAAGGGCACUGCAGUAGCCAUCUGUCGCCGCAUUGGCAUCUUUGGGCAAGAAGAGGAUGUGACAUCAAAAGCUUUUACCGGACGAGAGUUUGAUGAGCUCAGUCCAUCAGCACAGAGAGAUGCCUGCUUGAAUGCCCGUUGUUUCGCUCGUGUGGAGCCAUCUCACAAGUCUAAAAUUGUAGAAUUUCUUCAGUCUUUCGAUGAGAUCACAGCUAUGACUGGAGACGGUGUCAAUGAUGCGCCUGCUCUGAAGAAAUCGGAGAUCGGCAUCGCCAUGGGCUCUGGUACUGCAGUAGCCAAAACUGCAUCAGAGAUGGUGCUUGCGGAUGACAACUUCUCCACCAUCGUGGCUGCUGUUGAGGAGGGGCGGGCAAUCUAUAACAACAUGAAGCAGUUCAUCCGCUACCUCAUCUCCUCCAACGUGGGGGAAGUUGUCUGUAUUUUCCUGACAGCGGCCCUUGGCUUUCCUGAGGCUUUAAUUCCUGUCCAGCUGCUUUGGGUCAAUCUGGUGACAGAUGGCCUGCCUGCCACUGCAUUGGGGUUCAACCCUCCCGAUCUAGACAUCAUGAAUAAACCACCCAGGAACCCAAAGGAACCACUGAUCAGCGGGUGGCUCUUCUUCCGUUACCUGGCUAUUGGCUGUUAUGUUGGCGCUGCUACUGUGGGUGCUGCUGCCUGGUGGUUCAUUGCUGCCGAUGGUGGUCCAAGAGUGUCCUUCUACCAGCUGAGUCAUUUCCUACAGUGUAAAGAGGACAAUCCGGACUUUGAAGGCGUGGAUUGUGCAAUCUUUGAGUCUCCAUACCCAAUGACAAUGGCGCUCUCUGUGCUAGUAACCAUAGAGAUGUGUAACGCACUCAACAGCUUGUCUGAAAACCAGUCCCUGCUAAGGAUGCCUCCUUGGGAGAAUAUCUGGCUCGUGGGCUCCAUCUGCUUGUCCAUGUCACUCCACUUCCUGAUCCUCUACGUGGAGCCCUUGCCCCUUAUCUUCCAGAUCACACCACUGAAUUUGACCCAGUGGCUGAUGGUGCUGAAAAUCUCCUUGCCUGUGAUUCUGAUGGAUGAGACACUCAAGUUUGUGGCCCGCAACUAUCUGGAACAACCUGGUAAAGAGUGUGUGCAGCCUGCCACCAAAUCCUGCUCGUUUUCGGCUUGCACCGAUGGGAUUUCCUGGCCGUUUGUGCUGCUCAUAAUGCCCCUGGUGAUCUGGGUCUAUAGCACAGACACUAACUUUAGUGACAUGUUCUGGUCUUGACUGACAGUUUUACAUAAAGAAGAUGUUUAACUUAAUCAAUUAAUUUUUUUAUUGUUUAAAGCAACUUGUCUAUUUCUGCUGAAUUUUCACAUGAACAUAUUGGCUGGUGAAGGAGGUUUCAUACUCUAGAUUUUGUUUUGCUUUUUCUGACUCCAGUGGGGCAAGAUUUUCCUUUUUUUAUACACAUAAUUAAAGUGGCCAUUGACAUGUACAGAGAACUAACACUAUUUUAUGCAAAUAUUUUUUUGUAGAUGAAAAAGCAUGUACAGUGUUCUGUUUAAUACAUCCUUGUAUAAAAAAAUAGUUGAGCCAGCAGACAUUGUCAGCAAAUUAAUUGGCAGCAGAUUUUAGGAAAUGAAUGUGUGUGGUGUUUUUCUAAAACUAAAUAGCAUGUAUUGUGUCUUUUGCAUGAUCAUUUGGAUUUAAUCUGAGAUCACAGUCUAAUUUUACCAUAAGCCAAUUUUUCUGCACUGAGCAGAGUACUGCUACCUCAGUCAGUAUUUUUUUGAUUUGCCGCUCCCCUCACCCUCUCCACCCUGUUCACCCCACCCACUCCCCGGCCCUGCUCAGCUGCUUCUCCUGUAGGGUUUCCAUGGUUCUGUUUACAUCGGUCUUAAGAGGUAUGCCUGUUCUCGCUUGUGCAGAAAACAUUGUUCCAGAUUCAGUCAAAUGAGUUCAUGUCCCCUCACAUAGUUUUUAAAGUUAUUUAUUUAAAUGUCUAAAUGUAUUUUAUUGUAACAGACAUUGUUUUGCCAACAUUGCCUAUUCCAGUGGCACUUCAUAAUCUAGUUUAAACAGGAAAAUAAAACAUUUUAAAUGGACAGAGAAAAAUAACGGUCUUGUUUUUAACUCUUCAAGUGGCUUAGCUUCAACUGCGAUAGAUGUCCAACUUUCUCUUAAGUUCUUAGGACUUUAAUCUUACUAUGCUAAAGGGGAAGAAAGAUCUGUUCUGCUGCAUUAGUAGCUGUAGGAAUUUUCUUAUUUUUUUAUGUAUAGGCACUAAUUGUCAUCAGUGUACAUUUUAUGCAAGUUUCUGCUGGCCUGUUUUAGAGAACCUGGUGUAGAGAACAUAAGGGCAAGUGUGUGUAUGUGCGUGUAUGUGUUUUGUAAAAUCUGUAAAUAGCACAUGACCAAAUGAACAUAUUGUAUAGAACUAUUUUUAUUUGACUGUGGCACUAACCACCACCAUCAUAAAUGUUUGCGCAUGUUCAAGAUCAGUCUUACCAACAGUGUAUAAGUCAUUAACAGUCCUAACUGUGGUGUUUUUCUCCAAUGCCUUCCAACAUCCGUCAACUAACCAAUACUGGAGUAACCGCUUCCUAAACCAUUUUGCAGAAAUAUAAGGGCGUUCGGUUGCGUGCAUGUGCGUUUUUAGCAACACAUCUACCAGCCCUCUGCAUGAUUGAGGUUGGGGGAAAAGAAAAGUAGAAAAAAGCCCCCGACUCCUUGUGUGUUAUGUGGAGGAAAUGUGUAUUACCAGUGGGGGUUUUAGCUUUUAAAGUAAUUACAAAUGUACAAUUUAACUCAAUCAGAAAGUCUCUCCAGAGAAAUUUGGUUUCUUUGCCGCAAGAAGGUUCUGAAACCUUAGAAGCCAUCAGCCAAGUCUCCAUAUUUUUCUGUGCAAAAUGUCAUAGCUUAUAAAAAUGUUUAAUCAAUUGUAAUGCAUGCCUUCAGUUGUAAGUAGCCAGAUUUCUCUACACUGUUAAUGAAAUGCUACUUUUUAAUUGGCCCUGUACAGUUUGCUUAUUUAUAAAUUUAUGGAAACACUACAGGUGUUGAAUGGUUAAAAUGUAGGCCUUCAGUUAACUUGUUAUUUUUUGAGUGUGCAAACAGCUAUUUUGCACUGUAUCAAAUGUAACUUAUUUAAUGAAAUCAGAAGCAGUAGACAGAUGUGGUGCAAUACAACUAUUGUGAUGCAUUUAUCUUAAUAAAAUGCUAAAUGUCAAUUUAUCACAACGCAUGUUUGACUAGACUGUAAAUAGAGAUCAGUUAUUUCUGUGCUGGUAACAAGCAUCGCACAGACAUGGUUUCAGGUAAAUAAAUCUAUUCUACGAUAA
Sorex fumeus (smoky shrew) is the source of this 5204-nucleotide RNA transcript. It is a transcript of the gene named ATPase sarcoplasmic/endoplasmic reticulum Ca2+ transporting 2, with no coding region annotated. The record is from RefSeq and is a predicted model, not a curated record. Lineage: Eukaryota; Metazoa; Chordata; Mammalia; Eulipotyphla; Soricidae. The transcript has 21 exons.